AUUGAACGCUGGCGGCAUGCCUUACACAUGCAAGUCGAACGGUAACAGGUCUUCGGAUGCUGACGAGUGGCGAACGGGUGAGUAAUACAUCGGAACGUGCCUAGUAGUGGGGGAUAACUACUCGAAAGAGUGGCUAAUACCGCAUGAGAUCUACGGAUGAAAGCAGGGGAUCGCAAGACCUUGUGCUACUAGAGCGGCCGAUGGCAGAGUAGGUAGUUGGUGGGAUAAAAGCUUACCAAGCCGACGAUCUGUAGCUGGUCUGAGAGGACGAUCAGCCACACUGGGACUGAUACACGGCCCAGACUCUGAGGGGAGGCAGCAGUGGGGAAAUUUGGACAAUGAGCGAAAGCCUGAUCCAGCAAUGCCGCGUGCAGGAUGAAGGCCUUCGGGUUGUAAACUGCUUUUGUACGGAACGAAAAGCCCCGGGUUAAUACCCUGGGGUCAUGACGGUACCGUAAGAAUAAGCACCGGCUAACUACGUGCCAGCAGCCGCGGUAA
This 498-nucleotide ribosomal RNA is filed under the name uncultured bacterium. Its description in RNAcentral is "partial 16S ribosomal RNA". It matches the Rfam family "Bacterial small subunit ribosomal RNA", at positions 30 to 523 of the family's 1533-position model. The record is from RNAcentral.